This is a long non-coding RNA of Alosa sapidissima (American shad), 172 nucleotides long. RefSeq lists it as uncharacterized. NCBI's taxonomy places the organism in Eukaryota, Metazoa, Chordata, Actinopteri, Clupeiformes, Clupeidae. The transcript is spliced from 4 exons. The record is from RefSeq and is a predicted model, not a curated record.
UCAAAUUUGGUGUGUGUAUCUCAGGGGUCAGGAUUUGAAGGGUUAGCGUCAGCCAGUUAGCAUGGCAUUUGGCCGCUGACAUUUUUGAAAACAUGGCGUUACAUGGUUGCAACUUCCGUUACCAGUUUGCACAUGCUGAUUGGUAGAUGACAGCUCAUGCACGAGUUUAGUG